AAAAAGGGUCUUUAAAUAGAGGAAACAGAGGCAUACAAGAAUGAAUCAAGAAUGAAGAAGAGUCACUCAGAGGAGAGACUGGAAGACAGACACUUGAGGAGAGACUGGAAGACAAAUACUCAGACUUGGAGUGAAGACACUUGGCUGUGGAACUGGACCCCUGGAGGAGCUUGUGCAGGAGACCUCAGACUGCUUCCUUUUAGACAGUCACUAUGCAUAUUAUUUUGAUGGAAGAAUAUAAAGAAAAUCUACCCUCAUACCAGACUGGAAAAGACAGAAAUAAUUUAAUAGUUAUUUCACACUGCAUGACUCUCUAUGCCCUACAUUUGGAGUUUUCUUGGCAAAGAUACUGGAGAGGUUUGUCAUUUCCUCUUCCAUCUCAUUUUACUGAUGAG
RNAcentral lists this long non-coding RNA (395 nucleotides) under Monodelphis domestica (gray short-tailed opossum). Its description in RNAcentral is "lncRNA (ENSMODG00000048694.1)". The record is from RNAcentral. Lineage: Eukaryota; Metazoa; Chordata; Mammalia; Didelphimorphia; Didelphidae.